Molecule: non-coding RNA, 24 nt
Filed under: Arabidopsis thaliana (thale cress)
Lineage: Eukaryota; Viridiplantae; Streptophyta; Magnoliopsida; Brassicales; Brassicaceae
Source: RNAcentral
UUGGCUGAUGUGAUGAUACAUGAC